GAUGAACGCUGGCGGCGUGCCUAAUACAUGCAAGUCGAGCGAACAGACGAGGAGCUUGCUCCUCUGACGUUAGCGGCGGACGGGUGAGUAACACGUGGAUAACCUACCUAUAAGACUGGGAUAACUUCGGGAAACCGGAGCUAAUACCGGAUAAUAUAUUGAACCGCAUGGUUCAAUAGUGAAAGACGGUUUUGCUGUCACUUAUAGAUGGAUCCGCGCCGCAUUAGCUAGUUGGUAAGGUAACGGCUUACCAAGGCAACGAUGCGUAGCCGAACUGAGAGGGGGGUCGGCCACACUGGAACUGAGCCACGGUCAAGACUCCUACGGGAGGGCGCAGUAGGGAACCUUCCGCAACAGGCGAAAGCCUGACGCAGCAACGCCGCGUGAGUGAUGAAGGUCUUCGGAUCGUAAAACUCUGUUAUUAGGGAAGAACAACUGUGUAAGUAACUAUGCACGUCUUGACGGUACCUAAUCAGAAAGCCACGGCUAACUACGUG
RNAcentral lists this ribosomal RNA (497 nucleotides) under uncultured bacterium. RNAcentral's name for it is "partial 16S ribosomal RNA". It matches the Rfam family "Bacterial small subunit ribosomal RNA", at positions 28 to 507 of the family's 1533-position model. The record is from RNAcentral.